This is a long non-coding RNA of Vigna unguiculata (cowpea), 422 nucleotides long. The record is from RefSeq and is a predicted model, not a curated record. NCBI's taxonomy places the organism in Eukaryota, Viridiplantae, Streptophyta, Magnoliopsida, Fabales, Fabaceae.
CCUCUGAACCAACUCAUUUCUCUUCUCCAUUUCAACCUUCUUUCCUCCUGUUCUCACUCGAUCUUCAACCUUUUUUUUAUUGGAGGCCGUUCUUGGAAGCACUGAGGAGUCAUCUAUCUUGUCCACUUAUCAAAACCUUGGUUAGUAGGGGUGAAGGGAGGGUUCCUAAGAGCACAAUCUGUCUUAUGAAGUUCUUAGCAAAUGUAAAUUGGUAUUUUGAGGGUGAAACCAAUGGCUUUGCAGAGCAGUAGAGACCACCACAAGUGCAAGUUUUUAGUAAAUCUGAUUUCAUUACAUGUAUACAGAUGAGGAGAUACUUGUUGAUCCUGAUAAGGUGGAAGGAGAUGUUGCUGUCUAGAUUAGAUGUUUUGACUAAUUAUCUUCUUUGAGCAUCCUUUUGAAGGACUUUUCUUAUGUUUUUC